GAGGGUAUAGCUCAAAUGGUAAAGCAUAGGAUUAGCAUGCAUGAGAUCCUGGGUUCAAUUCCCAGUACCUCCU
Molecule: transfer RNA, 73 nt
Filed under: Camelus bactrianus (Bactrian camel)
Lineage: Eukaryota; Metazoa; Chordata; Mammalia; Artiodactyla; Camelidae
Also listed under: 2 other names
Rfam family: tRNA
About the family: Transfer RNA (tRNA) molecules are approximately 80 nucleotides in length.
Source: Rfam by way of RNAcentral